This 1282-nucleotide ribosomal RNA is filed under the name Echinogammarus anisocheirus. RNAcentral describes it as "partial 28S ribosomal RNA". It matches the Rfam family "Eukaryotic large subunit ribosomal RNA", at positions 115 to 895 of the family's 3401-position model. The record is from RNAcentral. Lineage: Eukaryota; Metazoa; Arthropoda; Malacostraca; Amphipoda; Gammaridae.
AACCUCCCGGGCCACCCGGCCUGCGGCGGAAUGUUGCGUAAAGGGAAAGGUCGUAGUCAAACCCCACAGCCACGCGAACUCUAAGUCAGCCACGAAUAGGCUAUCCCAACUAACGGCGGGAAAGACUCCACGGAGGGUGUAAGACCCGUGUGGGCGCGUGUUAAAGCUGUGCGGGCUCGGCCUCUUUUCCCUGAGAGUCGCGUUGCUUGAGCAUGCAGCGCUAAGCAGGUCGUAAACUCGAUCUAAGGCUAAAUAUGUCCACAGAACCGAUAGCGAACAAGUACCGUGAGGGAAAGUUGAAAAGCACUCUGGAGAGAGAGUCAAAAGACCGUGAAACCGCUCAGAGUAUAAGCCCAUGGCAGCUUGGAAGGCAUAUCGCUAGCGGGGCAUCCGAGCCUUCUUCCCUUAACCGGGGAGUUGAGGAGGGUGUUACCUUGCUUCUGUUGUGGCUCGUCAAGGUAGGGGGGUCGAGUCCAAAUCCCGCCAACGUGUGGGGAGUUCACAGGCCCGGAGCUGGGUCAGUUGAUCUUCGGGUCGGCUGCUCUCGGCUCUGCGCGCUUGGUUCUCUUUUAACACGGACGUUCAGACACAGUUGCAAGAUGCGAUAACCAGCCCACCACGGCACGUUGUGAGGUCACCCACAGGCUCGACUUUCGAUCGUGUUCCUUGACGCCGAGCAAGCACAAUGCGUGUCGCAAAUGUUCCUAACCGGGCACGUGAAGUGCCAGGACUGCGGAACGACACGCGCUCAACAGUCAGGAGCGGGCGAUGACAGAGUUCUGGUACGAUCCUCUUGCGACGAGCCGGCUUCUGGCCCAGUUUUCUUUUGCCCAGUGCUCCCGCAUGUGCCGCGGGAGCACGAUGACGGUCUGGAGUUUUCAUUCGAAUCCUCUCAGUUGGGCUUAAGACGAGUGGUGUAAAGUCCAAGCCCAUCGGUCACGUCUCGAAACACGGGCCAAGGAGUAUAGCAUGUGUGCAAGUCUAAGAGUCUCACAAAACUCGAAGGCGAAGUGAAAGCAAGUUUGCGGCGGGUGAUCCACACGGAGAUCCCGUCAGCUAGAGAGACACUCUCUCCGGCUUUGGCUGAGUUGAUCCUGCAGCGGUCCUAAAAACACUCGCUCAGGCGCAAACUCCAGGCUCACGUUCUUGCACUGGUUCUCACGGACUGUGCUGUGAGCACUGUGGAGCAUGCAUGCUAUGACCCGAAAGAUAGUGAACUAUGCCUGGCGAGGGCGAAGCCCCAGGAAACUGGGGUGGAGGCCCGUAGCCGUUGUGACGUGCA